GAUGAACGCUGGCGGCGUGCUUAACACAUGCAAGUCGAACGACGCACUUUAACCUGAUUCUUCGGCUGGAGGUUUUUGUGACUGAGUGGCGUACGGGUGAGUAACGCGUUGGUGACCUGCCUCAUACAGGGGGAUAACAGUUAGAAAUGACUGCUAAUACCGCAUAAGACCACAGAGCCGCCUGGCUCGGUUGGAAAAACUCCGGUGGUAUGAGAUGGGCCCGCGUCUGAUUAGGUAGUUGGUGGGGUAACGGCCUACCAAGCAAACGAUCAGUAGCCGAGAUGAGAGCGUGGCCGGCCACAUUGGGACUGAGAGAAGGCGCAAACUCCGACGAGAGGCAGCAGUGGGGAAUAAUGCACAAUGGGGGAAAGACUGAGGCAGCGAGGCCGCGUGAGCGAAGAGGUAUGGCGGUAUGUAAAGGGCUAACAGCAGGGAAGAAAAGGAGGGUACCGGACUAAGAAGAACGGGUUAAAUAGGU
RNAcentral lists this ribosomal RNA (478 nucleotides) under uncultured bacterium. RNAcentral describes it as "partial 16S ribosomal RNA". It matches the Rfam family "Bacterial small subunit ribosomal RNA", at positions 28 to 506 of the family's 1533-position model. The record is from RNAcentral.